UGGGGAAUAUUACACAAUGGGCGAAAGCCUGAUGCAGCGACGCCGCGUGAGGGAUGACGGCCUUCGGGUUGUAAACCUCUUUCAGCAGGGACGAAGCGCAAGUGACGGUACCUGCAGAAGAAGCACCGGCUAACUACGUGCCAGCAGCCGCGGUAAUACGUAGGGUGCAAGCGUUGUCCGGAAUUACUGGGCGUAAAGAGUUCGUAGGCGGUUUGUCGCGUCGUUUGUGAAAACCAGCAGCUCAACUGCUGGCUUGCAGGCGAUACGGGCAGACUUGAGUACUGCAGGGGAGACUGGAAUUCCUGGUGUAGCGGUGAAAUGCGCAGAUAUCAGGAGGAACACCGGUGGCGAAGGCGGGUCUCUGGGCAGUAACUGACGCUGAGGAACGAAAGCGUGGGUAGCGAACAGG
This 409-nucleotide ribosomal RNA is filed under the name bacterium. RNAcentral's name for it is "partial 16S ribosomal RNA". It matches the Rfam family "Bacterial small subunit ribosomal RNA", at positions 355 to 776 of the family's 1533-position model. The record is from RNAcentral.